UUCAGGAGCGCCCGGUAUGUCUGCGUCUUCUCCUCUGGGAGCUUGGAUACCCUCUCAGCCAAGAUGUCCUUGACCUGGGCCAGACUGCAGCCAGCACCUAUUGUCAGUCCUGGAAAGCACAUUGUUUUUAUAGGUGACGUGGGAGGAGCAGCUGGAUUGCAAUCGUGGUGUCAAGGCCAUGGCAUCCAGCUAGUGCGGUGGCUGCUCAGAGAAUCACCAGAACACACACAGCACAGACGCCCCACUCCCACGUCAAUCAAAUCAGAAUCUCCACGUGUGGGGCUUUAUCAACGUCUCCCCAGGGUGUUCCCUGGGCAGCCAGGGUUGGGAGCCCCUGGGCUGGGCUACACUCUUUGGAUGAAUGCAAGAAAACAGAGGCUAGAGAGAAGGAAUGACAGUAACACCUUGCAGGUGGCAGACUCUACUAGAACUUUCUGUGACCUGACUGACCACGGUGAAGCUAUGAAAAGCUGUUUUGUGAUUAAGGGGGAUAAAUCAAAGGUCUUUCAAUUGCCUAGGUCAUUGUCUACAAUCAGUAAUGCUUUGACUGCGGAUCUGAACCUCUACAGGUAGCCUUGAUGUUCAAAAUCUUCAACAACCAGUUCCAGGAGGGGCACCAGCCAAUCAGAAUGAACACAGCCCAAAUAAUUAUUCGUCCCACCAGCUUUAUCCUUCAAUUCCAGCUUUAUUCUCUGUUCUAAAGAAGAUGAUAAUCUAUCUGAAAAGUAAGAAGAAAGAUGAUCAGCUAAUGACAUGUGGAUGGAUUUCCAGGUUUCUUUUAAAUCACUUAACAGAUAUAAUUAUCUUGAUCAACAUGCAUGCAAAGCUUCAACUUGCUGCACCACAACCCAGAAGCCCCAGGAGGCAAUGUCAACACAGCAUUGGUUACAAAGAUAGAGUUAAGAAGUGAAAAAAUUAGGAUGUGCUCUUACCUGCACGGGGUGAAGCCUGGUUUUGAUGCUUCCAACACCUUCCACAGUGGUGACAGCAGCUCCAUACAGAGAGCAGAUGGGCACCAGGCAUGCGGUGACAGAGAAGUGUCUUUAUAUGAGAAGCACAAGGAAAAUCAAAAGGGGUAACACAGUUCUGCCUGGUGGAGAACAUGGGAACCAAGAAGGGCAGCAGGAAACCCACCAAGCCUGUCCUUCAACCUCGAUGACGGGGACCUGGAGGCGUGACCAGGAGGGAAACUUUAGAGUCCCUUCCAUUGCCUGUAUUAUCUGUAAGAAUUGGAUCCUUGGGAAUAUGGACAUUCUGAACAUCAGAAAAACUUUCCAAGCCCAGGACAGACCCACCUGGGUCUGGACUCAGUGGGAAUGGACUCGUGUCAUCAGGAAUACGGUUGGACGUCAACUGAUAUUCAUUAGGAUGUUGUUCCCAUAACAGGCAAAAGGCGCACCUUUGUCUUUUAACCAUAUUUGAGAAUUUUUUUGCCUGUUCAUUUUAAACUCUCUGUGUAGGGUCAUUCAGCAGAGUUGGAAGGCCUGUGUGCUGAGGUCAUUUCUUGAUUUUUGGGGCCAGUGGAUUUGGGAGCAGCCCAGUCCUGGAAUCUGGCCCUUAAUGAAAGGCUGGAAUCAUGGCCCUGGUCCAGCCCAACAGUAGAAAGAACAUUAGCAUCAGAGCCAGAAAACGUAGGCUCAAGUCCUUGUUCUAUGGCUUACUAGUUGCAUGGCCUUGAAAAAGUCACUUUAUGCUCCUGAACCUCAAUUUCCUCAUCUGUACGAUGAAUGUUGGGCCUCAAUUGGCUCCCACCCCCCGACCCCACACCUUGCAGCUUGUGGGAUCUUACUUUCCUGACCAGAGCGUGAACCCAGGCCCUCAGCAGUUAAGCACUGAGUCCUAACCACUGGACCGCCAAGGAAUUCCCUUAAUUGGCAUUUCUUAACCUGGGAUGCAUUGAUGAGCCUUGACAGGUCCGUGAUCUCCUGGAAACUGUGCAAAACGUUAUUCAUUUUUGUAGAAGCUCAUAGCUUUUAUCAGAUUAUCAAAGGGGUCUAAGACCUAGAGAGGCUUAGACUCACAAGGCUAGAAGGUCUCUGAGAUCUUCCUCAGCUGCGAGAUGAGAACGCAAGUCUGGUCCCUGAGCAUCUGGGCAGAUACCUUAUCUCCUGGCACGCGGGGUCUUGCUUAGACACCAUCACGGUGCAGGCACCGCAGCCUCCUCUUCCGCAGGCAUACUUGGUUCCUGUGAGGCGCACUGGGAGGGGUGGUCAAGGAAAGAGUCCCAGGCGGACACCUUGCCUCCAUUAGAGCUGCCACCUUAGGGUGUCGCUAGCCAGGAAAGUCUCCUUUGUGGGUGGGGGUGGAGGGGUGUUGGGGGAGAGGGUGGUGCAGGUCUGAGAAGACAUUCUCCUGCCUCCAGGCCUCAGUCAAGGCCACUCUGUAUCUUACCAGCUGUGUGAUACUGGACACACGAACAUCUCCCCACCUGUUUUUUUCACUUGCAAAGAGGGAAAAGCAAUACCUACUUUAUGUUCACAGGCUUAUCAUAAGCAUCUUGUAAGAUAACAGAAGUAAAAGCCCUUGGAAAAAAUGCUAUUUCACUGUAGGUAUUCUUCUGGGUUCAAAUCAUGUCACUGGAAGAUAAGCACUUAUUUUUAGCAGUUUAAUGUACUGCUAGUUUUGCCCGAUAAGUUGUACUGCAUUUGAAAUCAAGUCAGUGAGCUUUCGGAGAAAACUCCCAUCCUUAUUUUCACAUCCCACCUGGAGUGUCCCUCUGCUCCUGCUUGGCCCAGGUCCAAUCCCAAGGCUCAGCCUCUGCCCCUCUCUAGUCAUCCCUCUCCCUCAUUGUGGCCCAUUUCCACACAGUUCAUGGAUUGGAUGUAAUUAGACUGGCCAAGAAGACUUCAGAAUAUCUGGCCCAUUUUUUUUUGUUUUCUUAAACCCUAUGGCUUGUUCAUCUAAAUUACAUCAUAACCGUAAAUGCUUACAGGGAGGUGUGUGAAGGAGUGGAGGGGCUAGUGUAACUGGAGAGCUUGCCUCUCAUUUUAGAUGGAGGAUGACAGACAGGCCCCACCCAGCUCUAAGCAAGACUGCUGCCAGGCAGGAAUGACUAUAUUCCAAUUUUUCAUGAGAAACUCCUAUUUUUUUGAAAAAUAUGAAAUUUCUUAAUUUUCAAACAUUGACAACGAAUUAAAAACCUUGUGGGCUUUUACACAAGACUUGUAAUUUCUGUCUUUUUAAAAAUAUUUGGCUUCUCUGAGCAAUCCACUAGAUUUACCCAUUAAAAUAUGUUUGCCAUUAUUAAGAUUGAAAUUUCAGAAUAUAGAAUGUUGGGGGAAGAUCUGUUGUGAGAAAACAGAUGUCGAGAAAGGUAAUCUUCUCCUACGACACGUGCUCUUCCUGAACCUGGAGAAUUUGGUUUUCCUCCAGGGCAGGGUACAUGCAACACAAACCUCUGUUACAUAACCACUCUCUUGGGGAUCUUGAAGGCACUCAAAGGAAUAAUUAGUGCUAAAGGAAAGAGCUUAGCUUCUAUUGUGUGGCUAUUAAAUCAAGAUAUAAAAAACUCUGGGGAAACUUUAUCUUCUCCAAAGAGCUCAAUUAACUUAACAUCCUUAGAAUCAUUGCCAAAAGCAAAUAGAGAGCAAGGGCUGAGGGGCCUAGCUGUUUGGAGAUGGAGAGGUUUGGUUAGUUCUCACAAUCAUCCUCUUGAUCUUAAGUUUUAAGGCAAACACAGACACGGCCAAGAAUUUGAUCAAAAGGGUCCAGUUCUUUCGCAGGAAGGUCAGCAGAGUGACUUCUGGGUCCACGUUCCUCUCAACCACCUGCAUUGGAAACAGAAAAGAGAAUAUUAUGGAAAUUGAAUGGGCAACCCAGAGGAACGCCUGUCAUGGCUUGCUUGGUUUACAGACUGGGGUAUAUUAGGCCUGAUUUCAUUUGCCUCUUUUUCUGUGCUCUAAAGGCAAACAGCUUUUACAUACAUUUGUAGAGUAGGAGACCCACCAAGCAAACGUGGCAAUAAUGCUCUUAUAUGUGAUUAGAGCUGGGAACCACCGUUGUGUAAAGAUGCCUCUGGCAUUUAUGUUCUUCACGUGUGCUCCACUGUCUAAUUUUUUGGAGUCUUCCAGCCCAAUUUUUUGUACUGUUGAAAUAUUUCAAAUUGGGGAAGGACUUGGAUGCUGUGUGUGUGUGUAUGUGUGUGUGUAAAUGAGAGUGUGAAGGGUCCUUGAGGGAAGAAGGCUGAAUAGGAGGGGUUUCUAUUGUGGCACUUCUGAGAUGCGCCCUGUGGGGAGUACAUUUGAUAACAUCAGGGAUCCAAAGGGUUGGUGGCAGAAGGGGGAGGUGAGGGAGUGGCUCCCAGCCUGGAGUUGUCCCUGAUGUGCCACUGGCAGUGUGGCCAGUGGCGAGCCUUGUGGCCCCAGCGCAGGACCCAGGGAGACUCUGGAGGACCAUGAGGAUCCCUCUCUCCCUCACCUUGAAAAGUGGGGGAUUUAGUGCUCUAAAGCCACGGAGGGACUUUCCUUGCAGCUUCUUUCCCAUUUGUUUAUUUCCUUUGACUUUGUCUUUGGGUGUCCCGCAAAUACCUACAGCCAUUUUGUUGCAACAGAGGAAAGGAAGCUACAGUGGGCUAUUCAUGUAAGUUUCUUCUUUAUCCCCAGAAGGAAAACAUGAACUUGUGUAGACCUCAAAGAAUAAGAAAAGUACAGGAAAGGACUUCCCUGACAGUCCAGUGGUUAAGACUCCACGCUUCCACAUCAUGGGGCCCUGGUUUGAUCCCUGGUAGGGGAACUAAGAUCCUGAAAGUACAAGAAGAUGCUUCCAAGCUGAGAUAGACAAUUCAACUGCUCUCUGGAUCUCUAGGGGCUGCUAUCAAUGAAAGAUGCAGCCCUUGUCUGCCUGCUCUUACUUCCAUCCCAGAUCUUUUGAAAGCAUUUAAUGAGAGUGUGGUUGGAUAAUAUUUUUGUUAUCAAGCUGACUCCACUCCCACCAUACAACCUGUGUUUCCUCUAACCCUUGACUUAUUCCCUGUUCUGCCUGCAGCCACUUCAUUCUGGGCUCAUGACUCAGAAGGAAUGUGGAACAGAAAACAGAGGAAGGAGCCUCCAAAGCCCAGGCCAGUGGAUCAAGCGAGUAAGGACUCAGAGUCUUGGAAGAAUGUUUGGUGGCUGCUGGUGGUGGAGACUGGAUACAGGAGAGAGAGUUAGAAUGAAAAUGAUGGGAAGGUAGGGCUUCCCUGGUGGCACACUGGUUACGAAUCUGCCUGCUAAUGCAGGGGACAUGGGUUCAAGCCCUGGUCCAGGAAGAUCCCACGUGCCUAAGAGCAACUAAGCCCAUGCACCACAACUACUGAGCCUGCGCUCUAGAGCCUGAGAGCUACAACUAGUGAGCUCACGUGCCGCAGCUACUGAAGCCUGCGCACCUAUAGCCUGUGCUCUGCAACGAAAGAAGCCAUGGCAAUGAGAAGCCCGCGCACCACAACGAAGAGUAGCCCCUGCUCACCACAACUACAGAAAGCCUGUGUGCAGCAACGAAGACCCAAC
This is a long non-coding RNA of Hippopotamus amphibius kiboko, 5483 nucleotides long. RefSeq lists it as uncharacterized. The transcript is spliced from 3 exons. The record is from RefSeq and is a predicted model, not a curated record. NCBI's taxonomy places the organism in Eukaryota, Metazoa, Chordata, Mammalia, Artiodactyla, Hippopotamidae.